Molecule: long non-coding RNA, 2801 nt
Filed under: Mus musculus (house mouse)
Lineage: Eukaryota; Metazoa; Chordata; Mammalia; Rodentia; Muridae
Description: Ftx transcript, Xist regulator, non-protein coding
Source: RNAcentral
GUUGCAGCACAGCGCAGCGCUCCUGGAGAGGCUGUGGGUUCGUGGCAUCCGCGCCGCGGCCGCAAGUAUAGCAGGUUUCGUACCUGGUGUUCAUCGCCGUUAAGUCAUCGCUGCUGCCACCCAGGCACGGCUCUCUAUGCCGCCGCUCCCUCCACCCUCUAGGCACUGCCUGCCGUAAGAAUUUUAACUGCGACACUCGCUUCAGCAGGAGAUUUUAUUGGCUGCAGACACACGCAGCAUCUUCUUGCGCUCCUCCUUGAGGUGGAUGGGCAGCUAGCUGGAGAUGACACAGGAUGAUGCGCAUCUUUCGCACGCUGGCUCCAAGAUCUCCGCUGCCAGAUGCAGCAACAAAGCUUCUUUGUACAGACAGCCCUGGACACACUUCCAGCAGCAAUUCUUCUUGCAGGAACUGGUGCAAGAACAGGAUUUAUUCGUGGCACAGGAGCAGUUGGUGUCCACUGGGAGUGGAGGCAGAAGAGAGACCAGAGCGGGUAUGUUAGGAGAGAAAGCAGUGACUUCAACAGAAGUGGAGUAAAUAAAGAUGAUCACAGAACUUGGAAGCUGACGAAAUUAAUUUUGGAAAAGAGCUGGCUUGGAGCAUGACAGAAGAAUUCGAUGGAAAGAGUGCUGGGAGCCCAACUCAAGACUGAUGUGUGCUUGGCAGGCAGUCUACCCCCGAUCUCAGUCCUCCAGCCUUUCGGCCUUUUUUCCUUUUUGGAGACAGAAUUGCAUCAUAUGGCAUCCUACACAGUCCUGCCUCAGUCUCUGCAGUGCUGGGAUUGUAGGCCUAUGCCACCUAGCCUUUCUACAAUACAAACAAAUAUGAAAAGAAGAGGGACUUCUUUGGAAAGGAGUACAGGGACUAUGGAAGAGAUGAAAAGAUAAUAUUGUCAGAAAUUAUGCCGCUUUUGAAGAGAUAAACUGAACUCUUGAUUCUGUGAGGUUAUUAAAGAAUAUUAAUUUUCAAAUCACGGUAAAAUCUUGAUUCAGCAACACAUGAGGAUAAUCAUUGUGUCCAUGGAAACCUUGGGAAGCAGUUGAAAGCCUGGUCCCUCUUGCCUGGAGCAUUAACACAACGUGGCUGCAAAGUUAGUCCUUUCCCGCUACCAUCUCCUGAAUACUGGGACUAACUACACGUAUGCACGAACCUGCCCAUCUUUGCCUCUGUUAACAGCUGCCACUGUCUCUUCACGACAUGAUGGCUGACCUAGGGAAGAUAUUUUUGAAAAAGGGUUUAGCGUUUGCCAGAUCCUAUGCGUGAGUGACCUCAAAAGAGAAGAGGAGGGUACUUCUCAAUGACAAAGCAGUUGGAAGGAACAGAGCCAGUUGGCCAUGGACUGAAACUUUUGGAACUGAUUCUGAGGAGUUAAUGUUUCCAUGAAUAUCUCAGAAGGAGAUGUGGACAAACGAACAGUUAUCUCACUCCUGUAGGUUGGACUACAGUGAUCACUGAGUAGGAGCUUCGUCUUUAAAAUCUGGGGUGUGCUGUUAUGCAAUCUUCUUUCCCUGCCCAGUACUGGAUCUGUGAAAAGCUGAAUCAUGAAUCAGUGAGUGUGCGGAUUGGAACCCAAGUUGCUCUCUGGAUAGAACGAAAGGAGUCGUGCCCCAAGAAGAUGGAGAGGGAAGUUAUGAAAUGCUGUGACCAAAUAACAAAUGCUGAUGUUUGGGGAGAUAACUGUUUCCCAUAGGAAAUAGAGUGAAUGCGAUGUCUUUCUUUUGUGAGGGAUUCAUAGACCGCUUCUCAACGCUUGUUACAUGUUACUCCUUUUUUCGAGAUUUUUAUUUACCUAACUGGGAAAGAAACCAGAACAAGGUUUUCAUUGAAUUCUGAUACAGGUAUUUAAAGACUUACGGACAAGAUAUAGAAGAAGAAGUGGUAAUUAACUGAUUAAAGAAGUACAGUUUAUAUCCAGUAGACAGACAGGCUCCAGACAUCCUUAGUGCUGUCUUAGCAUCAAAGGUUAAUCUACCUAAUACUUGUCAUCCUGAAAUGCAUGGUGGAACAUCCAACAGACAAGAGCUACUUCAGGGAAGGACUAUGAUUUUUGUCGUGGAAGACAUUUAACACAGGGCAGCUCCUGUGCACUUACAUGAUAGAUAUUGCUCUUCCGGGGACUCUGAAUGCUCAUCCCACUUUCAGCUCACUAGGCACAUCGAACUAGAAAUUUUAUCAUCUCGUGAAUUAGUCCAAUACCUGAAGGAGCAAGAGAACCAACACCCAGUUGACAAGAAUAUGACCUGUUGAUUGAAGACCAUUAAGAAAGUAACUUGAUUCAGUUGGACUGGACUUUUUUAUUCUAUUGAAAAAGGAAUUUAUUUCCCCUCAGUGAACGUAACAUGAUCAACAUUUUGAAAGUUGUGAACAUGCAUAGUUCUAUAAUUUACAAAAUAAUUAUAAAAAUCUGAGUAUGGAUGCAGCAUAAUUUCAGAACAGAAUAGCCAUCAUACUUUUUAUAUAUCUUAAAUUCGAGUUUUCAAGAGUAUAUUUCUAUGUUAUAUCCUUUGAUUAGUACAAUAUAAAAUCUACAUCUAAUAUGUACUUCAGGUUUUAUUAGAUCAUGCCAUAUUACUGUACAAUUUGGACUUUUCCAUUUUUAUAUAAAAUGUAACAUGCAUUGUACAUUAAUAUUUAUAUAUCUUGUUUAUUUAUAUAUCUUUAGAAUUAAUUUCUGCCAAUUAUUUUCUUUAUUUGAAUACUUGGGGUAUCAUAAAGGUGCUGUUGAGGUAUUCUCAAUAUGCUUGUACAACUUCCUGCCUGUAGUUAAUAAAUGUGGAUAUUUCAUUAAACAAUUGAAAUAUAA